Panthera uncia (snow leopard) is the source of this 1274-nucleotide long non-coding RNA. RefSeq lists it as uncharacterized. The transcript has 4 exons. The record is from RefSeq and is a predicted model, not a curated record. NCBI's taxonomy places the organism in Eukaryota, Metazoa, Chordata, Mammalia, Carnivora, Felidae.
AGGUGUGGAAGUCCACAGUCAGCAAUGAUCUUGGCAGGCUAAGAAUGAGCCUGAGCAAGUGUCUGAGUAAAGUCCUUUCUUAGCUACAAUUCCAGCUCCACUAGACAAGGAGGGUGAAGGGAAAUUAAAGACACCGUCAGAACAAAAGAGAACCAGAGUCCAGAGGAGCAAUUUACAAUCCGCUUCCCGAAAUCAGCGGAAAACUCCUGACGGGAGUUCAGUUCGGCCACUCCUAAAUCUGGCUAUAUAAAUUAUUCACUAUAUCCUACUCCCUCCAUUCACCACCUUUCAGAUAAGACACGGAACCCAAAGAAUUCAAGGAUGGUGUGCCCGUGUUCACACAGUUCCUAAGCGGCAAGAUGGGAAUUUGAAUAGAACCCGCCUGACAAAAGUCUGAAUUAACGCUCUUCUCCAAAAUGCCUAAAUGGAUGUGGUGUAGACAUGUGCAGAGACAGGAUGCUAGAAUAAAGCCUAGAAGAACACAGAUAGCGUCUGGUCUUCCGAGAAAACGAGACUAGAAGAAUGUGAAAGGCUGUCCUCCAUGGGUUCUGUCACUUCCCCGUGCGAUCAGCCCUCCGCCAGUCAACUCGGGUCGGCCAUGCACAGCCCAUCCCCCACCCCACAGCUCUUCCCCAACCUCUGGGAACCUCUGCCCCCCAACUGUGAGCACAGGGGAGGGAGUCCAGGUGGGUACCCACCUUUGACUCUGGGCUUCCCUCCCCCAGGAGACCCAACCAGCUCUCGCUGGAAUCCUGAGAGCUGGUGGGGCCAACAGCCAUCCUGUGGCCCCCUGGGGGCUGAGGAAGGGCCACCAUCAUGGACGCAGAGCUGGAAGAAAAUGCCCAUAUGAUGGAAUCAGAAGCAGUGAAAGCUGAAUUUAGGUUUUUGGUCCAUCUGCACUCUUAGAGAGGAGCAGAGGCCUAAAGCUUUCUGAGAGUCUUCCAGAAAACUGAGCAGAGGUGAGUGCAGCCUCACCCUGUGGUGCUACAUCAUCCCAUCUUUGAAUAAAAGGAACCCUUUCCCGUGGCUCCUGUCUCCUUCGGACGCAACUCGGUCGGUCUUUCGAGCUUCCUUGUGUUCCUGUACAAAACAUGCCCCUGCCUCAUCUUGUGAACCAGAUUCCCCCCACCUGGAAUCAGCAGGGUUUCCAAGGAUCCGUGCCGACUGUCCUGGGGCAGGAUUGCCAGAUCACAGUUCUGUUCCGAGCCUCUGCUCGCCGCUGCCUGUUUGGUAUAAUGUGAGGACUUUUCCAGAGAACCAGAAGACAGGUACUU